UCGAUUAGUUUGAUCAUGGCUCAGCCUGAACGCUGGCGGCGUGGUUAAGACAUGCAAGUCGCACGGUGCCGUAGCAAUACGGCACAGUGGCGAACGGGUGAGUAAUGUAUCGCUAACGUGCCCCGGACUCCGGGAUAGCCGCCCGAAAGGGCGGGUAAUACCGGUUGACGUGACGCCCAGGCAUCUGGGUGUUCCCAAAGGUCCGCCGGUCUGGGAGCGGGCGAUAUCGUAUCAGCUAGUUGGUGCGGGUAACGGCCCACCAAGGCGACGACGCGUAGCCGGACUGAGAGGUUGGCCGGCCACAUCGGGACUGAGACACUGCCCGGACUCCUACGGGGGGCUGCAGUAACGAAUCUUCCCCAAUGCACGAAAGUGUGAGGGAGCGACGCCGCGUGUGGGACGAAGUCCUUCGGGAUGUAAACCACUGUCAGGGGAUACCAAGUUCUGAGGAUCCCCAGAGGAAGGGGCGGCUAACUCUGUGCCAGCAGCCGCGGUAAGACAGAGGCCCCAAGCGUUAGGCGGAAUCACUGGGCUUAAAGCGUGUGUAGGCGGACGCCUAAGUGUCUUGUGAAAUCCCACGGCUCACCCGUGGAACCGCUGGGCAUACUGGGCGUCUUGGGCCAUUCAGGGGCAACUGGAACAAGCGGUGGAGCGGUGAAAUG
This 662-nucleotide ribosomal RNA is filed under the name uncultured bacterium. RNAcentral describes it as "bacterial SSU rRNA". It matches the Rfam family "Bacterial small subunit ribosomal RNA", at positions 1 to 688 of the family's 1533-position model. The record is from RNAcentral.